This 73-nucleotide transfer RNA is filed under the name Monodelphis domestica (gray short-tailed opossum). It matches the Rfam family "tRNA". From Rfam's summary of the family: Transfer RNA (tRNA) molecules are approximately 80 nucleotides in length. Their secondary structure includes four short double-helical elements and three loops (D, anti-codon, and T loops). Further hydrogen bonds mediate the characteristic L-shaped molecular structure. tRNAs have two regions of fundamental functional importance: the anti-codon, which is responsible for specific mRNA codon recognition, and the 3' end, to which the tRNAs corresponding amino acid is attached (by aminoacyl-tRNA synthetases). tRNAs cope with the degeneracy of the genetic code in two manners: having more than one tRNA (with a specific anti-codon) for a particular amino acid; and 'wobble' base-pairing, i.e. permitting non-standard base-pairing at the 3rd anti-codon position. Lineage: Eukaryota; Metazoa; Chordata; Mammalia; Didelphimorphia; Didelphidae. The record is from Rfam by way of RNAcentral.
AGCUAGGUGAUUCAGUGGAUAGAGUGUCAGACUUGUGGUCUGGAGGGCUUGGGUUCAAAUCUGGCCUUAGCUA